CCCUCAGAUGUCCUGGGCCGCACGUGUGCUACACUGACUCGCGCAACGAGUUUUUACCUGAUCCGAAAGGCAUUGGGAAACCUUGUUAAUACGAGUCGUGCUAGGGAUUGAUCUUUGCAAUUUUCGAUCAUGAACGAGGAAUCCCUAGUAAGCAUAAGUCAUCAUCUUGUGCUGAUUACGUCCCUGCCCUUUGUACACACCGCCCGUCGCUCCUACCGAUUGAGUGGUCCGGUGAACUUUUUGGACGUUUACUUGUUGAGCGGAAGCUAAGUAAACCUUAUCACUUAGAGGAAGGAAAANUCGUANCA
RNAcentral lists this ribosomal RNA (308 nucleotides) under uncultured eukaryote. RNAcentral describes it as "partial 18S ribosomal RNA". It matches the Rfam family "Eukaryotic small subunit ribosomal RNA", at positions 1470 to 1796 of the family's 1831-position model. The record is from RNAcentral.